UCAAGUUAUUAAGGGUGCAGGGCGGAUGCCUUGGCACUAGGAGCCGAUGAAGGACGUGAUAAGCUGCGAUAAGCUUCGGGGAGUUGCACGUAAACUUUGAUCCGAAGAUUUCCGAAUGAGGAAACUCACUUAGAGUAAUGUCUAAGUAUCAUUAAGUGAAUACAUAGCUUAAUGAGGGGAACUCAGGGAACUGAAACAUCUAAGUACCUGAAGGAAGAGAAAGAAAUUCGAUUCCGUAAGUAGCGGCGAGCGAACGCGGAUUAGCCCAAACCAAUAAAGUUUUCUUUAUUGGGGUUGCGGACAUAUCAUAACGAAGAGGUAUCGUAAUUGAAGAGGUUUGGAAAGACCCACCACAGAAGGUAAUAGUCCUGUAUGUUAAACGAGAAGACUUCAGAUAUGAUCCAGAGUACCACGGGACACGUGAAACCCUGUGGGAAGCAGGAGGGACCACCCUCCAAGGCUAAAUACUACCUAGUGACCGAUAGCGUAUAGUACCGUGAGGGAAAGGUGAAAAGAACCCCGGGAGGGGAGUGAAAUAGAACCUGAAACCCUGCACUUACAAGCUGUGGAAGCACAUUUCUUGUGUGACCGCGUACUUUUUGUAGAACGGGCCAACGAGUUACGUUAAGUAGCAAGGUUAAGCACUUAAGGUGCGGAGCCGUAGCGAAAGCGAGUUUUAACUGAGCGUUCAGUUACUUGACGUAGACCCGAAACCGGGCGACCUACCCAUGAGCAGGAUGAAGCGAAAGUAAAAUUUCGUGGAGGUCCGAACCCACGAGCGUUGAAAAGCUCGGGGAUGACUUGUGGGUAGCGGUGAAAUUCCAAUCGAGCCCGGAGAUAGCUGGUUCUCCCCGAAAUAGCUUUAGGGCUAGCCUCAAGGUGAGAGAUACGGAGGUAGAGCACUGAAUGUCCUAGGGGGUAUUGCACCUACCGAAGACUAUUAAACUCCGAAUGCCGUCAUCUUAUACUUGGGAGUCAGACUGUGGGUGAUAAGAUUCAUAGUCGAAAGGCAACAGCCCAGAUCGUCAGCUAAGGGUCCCUAAUGUAAGUUAAAGUGGUAAGGAUGUGGGUUUGACAGACAACCAGGAUGUUGGCUUAGAAGCAGCCACUCAUUCAAAGAGUGCGUAAUAGCUCACUGGUCGAGUGAUCCUGCGCCGAAGAUUUCCGGGGCUAAAACUUACUACCGAAGCUACGGCAUCAGUAAUGAUGGGUAGGGGAGCUUCCCAUACGGGUUGAAGCAUGACCGUAAGGACAUGUGGACAGUAUGGGAGUGAGAAUGUUGGCAUGAGUAGCGAGAUGUGGGUGAGAAUCCCACAGGCCGUAAACCCAAGGUUUCCAGGGGAAGGUUCGUCCGCCCUGGGUUAGUCGGGACCUAAGCUGAGGCCGAAAGGCGUAGGUGAUGGACAACAGGUUGAUAUUCCUGUACUACCGAUAACCGUUUGAGAGAAGGGAUGACACAGUAGGAUAAGCUAAGCACACUGUUGGUUAUGUGUGCCCAAGCAUUGAGGCAGUCAAAGUAGGCAAAUCCGCUUUGAUAAUGCUGGGAUGUGAUGGGGAGCGAAAUUUAGUAGCGAAGUAGCUGAUUUCACACUGUCAAGAAAAGUCUCUAUCGAGGUUAAAGGUACCCGUACCGCAAACCGACACAGGUGGGUGAGGAGAGUAUCCUAAGGCCAGCGAGAGAACUGUUGUUAAGGAACUCGGCAAAAUGACCCCGUAACUUAGGGAUAAGGGGUGCCACCAUCAGGUGGCCGCAGAGAAUAGGCCCAAGCGACUGUUUACCAAAAACAUAGGUUUCUGCUAAGUCGCAAGACGAUGUAUAGGAGCUGAGCCUGCCCGGAGCUGGAAGGAUAAGGGGAUCUGUUAGAGCAAUCGAAGCAGUGAACUUACGCCCCAGUAAACGGCGGCCGUAACUAUAACGGUCCUAAGGUAGCGAAAUUCCUUGUCGGGUAAGUUCCGACCCGCACGAAAGGCGUAACGAUUUGGGCACUGUCUCUACAACAGACUCGGUGAAAUUGUAAUUCCGGUGAAGAUGCCGGAUACCUGCGACAGGACGGAAAGACCCCAUGGAGCUUUACUGUAGCUUGACAUUGGGUUUUGGUACUACAUGUACAGGAUAGGUGGGAGGCUUUGAAACCAGGACGCCAGUUUUGGCGGAGCCUUCCUUGGGAUACCACCCUUGUAGUACUGGGACUCUAACCAUAGGCCAUGAAUCUGGACUUGGGACACUGUCAGGCGGGCAGUUUGACUGGGGCGGUCGCCUCCCAAAAGGUAACGGAGGCGCUCAUAGGUUCUCUCAGUACGGUCGGAAAUCGUACGUAGAGUGUAAAGGCAAAAGAGAGCUUGAUUGCAAGACAUACAGGUCGAGCAGGGAUGAUAAUCGGACUUAGUGAUCCGGCGGCUCUGCGUGGAAGGGCCAUCGCUCAACGGAUAAAAGCUACCCUGGGGAUAACAGGCUUAUCUCCCCCUAGAGUCCACAUCGACGGGGAGGUUUGGCACCUCGAUGUCGGCUCAUCACAUCCUGGGGCUGUAGUAGGUCCCAAGGGUUGGGCUGUUCGCCCAUUAAAGUGGUACGCGAGCUGGGUUCAGAACGUCGUGAGACAGUUCGGUCCCUAUCCGUCGCAGGCGUAGGAAAUUUGAGAAGACCUGUCCUUAGUACGAGAGGACCGGGAUGGACGUACCUCUGGUGUACCAGUUGUCCUGCCAAGGGCAUGGCUGGGUAGCUAUGUACGGAAUGGAUAAGCGCUGAAAGCAUCUAAGCGCGAAGCCAACUUCAAGAUAAGAUUUCCCACCGCAAGGGUAAGACCCCAGAAAGACUAUCUGGUUGAUAGGUCGAAGGUGUAAGUGCAGCAAUGUAUUUAGCUUAUCGAUACUAAUAGGUCGAGGACUUGACCAA
RNAcentral lists this ribosomal RNA (2893 nucleotides) under Clostridioides difficile 2007855. Its description in RNAcentral is "bacterial LSU rRNA". It matches the Rfam family "Bacterial large subunit ribosomal RNA". Lineage: Bacteria; Bacillati; Bacillota; Clostridia; Peptostreptococcales; Peptostreptococcaceae. The record is from RNAcentral.